UACGUAGGGUGCGAGCGUUAAUCGGAAUUACUGGGCGUAACGUGUGCGCAGGCGGUCGAUCAAGUCGCGUGUGAAAGCCCCCGGCUCAACUGGGGAGGGUCACGCGAUACUGAUCGACUCGAAGGCAGGAGAGGGUAGUGGAAUUCCCGGUGUAGUGGUGAAAUGCGUAGAUAUCGGGAGGAACACCAGUGGCGAAGGCGACUACCUGGCCUGUUCUUGACGCUGAGGCGCGAAAGCUAGGGGAGCAAACGGG
Molecule: ribosomal RNA, 253 nt
Filed under: uncultured bacterium
Lineage: Bacteria
Description: partial 16S ribosomal RNA
Rfam family: Bacterial small subunit ribosomal RNA
Source: RNAcentral